Small nucleolar RNA from Vespa velutina, 131 nucleotides. RefSeq annotates it as small nucleolar RNA SNORA79. The record is from RefSeq and is a predicted model, not a curated record. NCBI's taxonomy places the organism in Eukaryota, Metazoa, Arthropoda, Insecta, Hymenoptera, Vespidae. The transcript has a single exon.
AGACAACUGUUCCUCUAACAAGAUCUUUAUAUCGUGUUAGAUUUCAGAAUGUCUUAGAAUAAAUAUGGAUUGCUUCACCCAGAAUUGUGCAUUAUUAUAACACUGUCUGGCUUUUGCGGGUUCAUACAAAA